CCUACGGGAGGCAGCAGUGGGGAAUCUUGCGCAAUGGGCGAAAGCCUGACGCAGCCAUGCCGCGUGAAUGAUGAAGGUCUUAGGAUUGUAAAAUUCUUUCACCGGGGACGAUAACGACGGUACCCGGAGAAGAAGCCCCGGCUAACUUCGUGCCAGCAGCCGCGGUAAUACGAAGGGGGCUAGCGUUGCUCGGAAUUACUGGGCGUAAAGGGAGCGUAGGCGGAUAGUUUAGUCAGAGGUGAAAGCCCAGGGCUCAACCUUGGAAUUGCCCUUGAUACUGGCUAUCUUGAGUACGGAAGAGGUAUGUGGAACUCCGAGUGUAGAGGUGAAAUUCGUAGAUAUUCGGAAGAACACCAGUGGCGAAGGCGACAUACUGGUCCGUUACUGACGCUGAGGCUCGAAAGCGUGGGGAGCAAACAGGAUUAGAUACCCUGGUAGUCCACGCUGUAAACGAUGAGUGCUAGUUGUCGGCAUGCAUGCAUGUCGGUGACGCAGCUAACGCAUUAAGCACUCCGCCUGGGGAGUACGGUCGCAAGAUUAAAACUCAAAGGAAUUGACGG
This 560-nucleotide ribosomal RNA is filed under the name uncultured bacterium. Its description in RNAcentral is "bacterial SSU rRNA". It matches the Rfam family "Bacterial small subunit ribosomal RNA", at positions 338 to 916 of the family's 1533-position model. The record is from RNAcentral.